Molecule: unclassified non-coding RNA, 153 nt
Organism: Macaca fascicularis (crab-eating macaque)
Lineage: Eukaryota; Metazoa; Chordata; Mammalia; Primates; Cercopithecidae
Rfam family: Metazoan signal recognition particle RNA
About the family: The signal recognition particle (SRP) is a universally conserved ribonucleoprotein. It is involved in the co-translational targeting of proteins to membranes. The eukaryotic SRP consists of a 300-nucleotide 7S RNA and six proteins: SRPs 72, 68, 54, 19, 14, and 9.
Source: Ensembl
GCUGGGCGUGGUGGCAGGCACCUGUAAUCCCAGCUACUCGGGAGGCUGAGGCAGGAGAAUUGCUUGAACCCAGGAGGCAGAGGUUGCAGUGCAGUGAGCUGAGAUCACGCCACUUCACUCCAGCCUGGGUUACAGAGCAAGACUCUGUCUCAA